GACGGGACCCGCACAAGCGUGGAUCAUGUUGUUAAUUCGAUGAUACGCGAAGAACCUUACCAGGUCUUGACAUCCCUGACAACCGAGAGAUCGGCGUUCCCCUUCGGGGGACAGGGUGACAGGUGGUGCAUGGUUGUCGUCAGCUCGUGUCGUGAGAUGUUGGGUUAAGUCCCGCAACGAGCGCAACCCUCGACCUUAGUUGCCAGCAUUCAGUUGGGCACUCUAAGGUGACUGCCGGCUAAAAGUCGGAGGAAGGUGGGGAUGACGUCAAAUCAUCACGCCCCUUAUGACCUGGGCUACACACGUGCUACAAUGGGCGGUACAAAGGGUCGCGAACCCGCGAGGGGGAGCCAAUCCCAAAAAGCCGCUCUCAGUUCGGAUUGCAGGCUGCAACUCGCCUGCAUGAAGCCGGAAUCGCUAGUAAUCGCGGAUCAGCAUGCCGCGGUGAAUACGUUCCCGGGCCUU
RNAcentral lists this ribosomal RNA (465 nucleotides) under uncultured Anoxybacillus sp. Its description in RNAcentral is "bacterial SSU rRNA". It matches the Rfam family "Bacterial small subunit ribosomal RNA", at positions 916 to 1381 of the family's 1533-position model. The record is from RNAcentral. Lineage: Bacteria; Bacillati; Bacillota; Bacilli; Caryophanales; Anoxybacillaceae.